This is a non-coding RNA of Benincasa hispida (wax gourd), 1637 nucleotides long. NCBI's taxonomy places the organism in Eukaryota, Viridiplantae, Streptophyta, Magnoliopsida, Cucurbitales, Cucurbitaceae. The record is from RefSeq and is a predicted model, not a curated record.
GGUUUAAAGUGAGAACCCACUCAUUUCAGCCCAUUUCUCCAUCAUUUCCCAUUAUAUUUUUAGAGCAUUUCGAGAGAGAGAGUGAAGGAAGAGGAAGAAGAAGUUGCUGCAGGUUGGAGGUUGAAGAAGGGAGGAAAAGCUCAUGCAAGUGCAACCAUGGAAGAAUUUGGGUUCAACCUACCUAUCUCUGGUUUUUAAGUCGGUUUGAGCUACAAAAGAAGAACUAAGAGGAAAACAGAGCACAGAAUUUUCGUGCAAAUCAGAAGGAUCUCUGUUUUUCUCUGGUUUUUCAAACAUUCUGGGGUGUACAGGUUGGAUUAGAAGCUCAAUUGGGUAUUUCUGGAAAUAUUAUUCAAUUUCCUAUAACUUUCAUGAAGAAUUCGUGAGCCAAAAAUGACUAGAAGUAAGUUUAAUUUCAGAAGAAAGGUAGAGGGUAGCAGAGAAGCACGAAUCUGUAUUUGCUGUGUUCGGGGGAUUUCUGGACAAAUACAUUGGGAAUCUCAUUUGUAUUCCUUCAGGUUAUAUUCCGUUGUUGAUGUUGAGUGUACUCCAUGACAACAAUGCUGUCGGGAGUGCUGGGCGGGCCCCACUACGACAAAGACGAUGAGAGUGCUGGGCAGGCCCCACUACAUCGUAGAGCUAGUAAACGUUGGUUGUACUGGGUGUGUCCUACACAACGUUGAUUUGUCAUGUAGAGAUCGAGCUCCCGGUGCCUGAUAACUCCCAAAGUCUGUUUUCUCCUAAAAGCUUCUAGAUCAAGCUUCAUACGUGGGUGGAGUUGUACAUUGUGUCUGUUUAGAUUGUAAAUGUCUUUGUAAGAACUGGAUAGUUUAUGGUUGUGUAAGCACUAGAUGUCAUGGUUGUGUAAACCCCAGUUGGAUAUGUUUUUGGUUGUGAUAUCUCUAUCAGGUUAUUUUCCAAACCGUGUUAUGUCAGGACUGCACUUCAUGUGUGUCUAAAGGUUUUCAGGGAUUCCGCUGUGUUGUGUUACAUGUAAAGUAUUUUAUAUCUAAGAUUAGUAUGUUUAUCAGGUUCAACGAUUCAACAGGGUCAACAGGCAUCGUUAGAGGAGGACGAUGUCUGUUGGCUUCACGCCAUCUCCCUGACUAAGCUAGCAGGUAGUUUAGGAGGGGGUGUGACACUUCGAGCUUUUAGGAGAAGAAAGGGUUUUGAAAGCAAAAUGUUUAGGGUUUUGAUUUGCUGGUAAAGAAUUUCCAAAGAUGGAGGAGGGAGUAUUUAAAGGUUGGGUCGUGGUGGGGCCCAAUGCGAUUUGUGUUGCAACUGACCUUGAGCAUCUCAACAGGCGCGUUGUUCCACCUCCCGCAUUUAUGGAAUUUUUAAAAAAAGCGUCCUUUCGUCUGCCAGGCCAUAAUUUCUUAGGCAUACAAAUCAAUUGGCCUUCUUCCCGAAUUACCAGACGAAUUUUCUUUAAUAUUUUAUUUGAAUGGACGCAUGAUAAGGUAUAACGCAUUGUGUUCAAUAACGCAAUUGCAUCUUUGCAGAGGAUGGGCACAGCGCAUAUGUCCCCGCAACACACCCCUUAACCAACGCAUUUCUGGAGGAUGCUUUGACAUAAUGCAUUUGGCUAAGGACGGGCAAAGGACAUAUACGAGUGCAACACAUCCCUCAACUCAAUA